CGGGACGUGGCUCAGCCUGGUAGAGCGCUGCGUUCGGGACGCAGAGGUCGCUGGUUCGAAUCCAGUCGUCCCGAUCA
This 77-nucleotide transfer RNA is filed under the name Syntrophobacter sp. SbD1. RNAcentral's name for it is "tRNA-Pro". It matches the Rfam family "tRNA". Rfam says of the family: Transfer RNA (tRNA) molecules are approximately 80 nucleotides in length. Their secondary structure includes four short double-helical elements and three loops (D, anti-codon, and T loops). RNAcentral also lists the same sequence under 1 other name. Lineage: Bacteria; Pseudomonadati; Thermodesulfobacteriota; Syntrophobacteria; Syntrophobacterales; Syntrophobacteraceae. The record is from RNAcentral.